This 217-nucleotide ribosomal RNA is filed under the name uncultured bacterium. Its description in RNAcentral is "partial 16S ribosomal RNA". It matches the Rfam family "Bacterial small subunit ribosomal RNA", at positions 30 to 248 of the family's 1533-position model. The record is from RNAcentral.
AUUGAACGCUGGCGGCAUGCCUUACACAUGCAAGUCGAACGGCAGCGCGGGGCAACCUGGCGGCGAGUGGCGAACGGGUGAGUAAUAUAUCGGAACGUGCCCUGGAGUGGGGGAGUAACGCAGCGAAAGUUGCGCUAAUACCGCAUACGAUCUAAGGAUGAAAGCAGGGACCGGCAAGGCCUUGUGCUCCUGGAGCGGCCGAUAUCUGAUUAGCUAG